CCUCAUCCUCACCUGUGAGGAAAAGUUCAUCACCUGCUCGUGUGACUGCUACAUCAUCUUCAUCCUCACCUGUGAGGAAAAGUUCAUCACCUGCCCCUGUGACUGCUACAUCAUCCUCAUCCUCACCUGUGAGGAAAAGUUCAUCACCUGCCCCUGUGACUGCUACAUCAUCCUCAUCCUCACCUGUGAGGAAACGUUCAUCACCUGCUCCUGUUACUGCUACAUCAUCCUCAUCCUCACCUGUGAGGAAAAGUUCAUCACCUGCCCCUGUGACUGCUACAUCAUCCUCAUCCUCACCUGUGAGGCAGCGUUCAUCAAGAAAAAGACAGCAGGAGAGGUUUCAGUCAAGAUUGGUCAAACUACGGGAACAUCAUAACAAUUGCUCCAAGCGCUUCAAUAGAGCAGAAGUUGAAAAAACCAACAGAACAAAAAAGACUGCCAUACUUGAGGAUUGCGUUGUUCAUCAAUCCCUUCAAAAAGAAAAUGGGAGGACUCUGAGGUAAAAGCAGUUGAAAAACAUAUGAUGAAGUUCAUAAAGACCUGCAGAGUUCCUGGUAAGCAAGACUGUGAGAGAUGCAUUAAAGCAGAGUCAGAAGCCUUAAAGGAACGAACAUGGACUGGUGUGAAAAAUUAUGUGCGGAAC
Long non-coding RNA from Cyprinus carpio carpio, 643 nucleotides. The record is from Ensembl. NCBI's taxonomy places the organism in Eukaryota, Metazoa, Chordata, Actinopteri, Cypriniformes, Cyprinidae.